RNAcentral lists this ribosomal RNA (261 nucleotides) under uncultured bacterium. RNAcentral describes it as "partial 16S ribosomal RNA". It matches the Rfam family "Bacterial small subunit ribosomal RNA", at positions 336 to 594 of the family's 1533-position model. The record is from RNAcentral.
UUCCUACGGGACGCAGCAGUGAGGAAUAUUGGUCAAUGGACGCAAGUCUGAACCAGCCAUGCCGCGUGCAGGAUGACGGCUCUAUGAGUUGUAAACUGCUUUUGUACGAGGGUAAUAUCGGAUACGUGUAUCCGCUUGAAAGUAUCGUACGAAUAAGGAUCGGCUAACUCCGUGCCAGCAGCCGCGGUAAUACGGAGGAUCCAAGCGUUAUCCGGAUUUAUUGGGUUUAAAGGGUGCGUAGGCGGCUUUAUAAGUUAGAGG